CCUACGGGAGGCAGCAGUGGGGAAUAUUGCGCAAUGCUCGUAAGAGUGACGCAGCGACGCCGCGUGAAUGACGAAGGCCUUCGGGCCGUAAAGUUCUUUCGACAGGGAAGAAAAUGCCUAUAAGUAACUGUGUAUGUAUUGACGGUACCUGUAUAAGCAGCCCCGGCUAACUCCGUGCCAGCAGCCGCGGUAAUACGGAGGGGGCGAGCGUUGUUCGGAGGGACUGGGCGUAAAGAGCACGUAGGCGGUGUUGUAAGUCAUUAGUCAAAGACUAGAGCUCAACUUUAGUAAGGCUAGUGAUACUAUAAUACUAGAGUAUCAGAGAGGAUUGCAGAAUUCCUGGUGUAGCGGUGAAAUGCGUAGAUAUCAGGAGGAAUACCGUUAGCGAAGGCGGCAAUCUGGCUGGAAACUGACGCUGAGGUGCGAAAGCGUGGGUAGCAAACAGGAUUAGAUACCCCAGUAGUC
RNAcentral lists this ribosomal RNA (465 nucleotides) under uncultured bacterium. RNAcentral describes it as "partial 16S ribosomal RNA". It matches the Rfam family "Bacterial small subunit ribosomal RNA", at positions 338 to 795 of the family's 1533-position model. The record is from RNAcentral.